Molecule: ribosomal RNA, 259 nt
Filed under: uncultured bacterium
Lineage: Bacteria
Description: partial 16S ribosomal RNA
Rfam family: Bacterial small subunit ribosomal RNA
Source: RNAcentral
CGAACGGGUGAGUAACACGUGGGCAACCUGCCCAAANAGGGGAUAACACUUGGAAACAGGUGCUAAUACCGCAUAACCAUAGUUACCGCAUGGUAACUAUGUAAAAGGUGGCUAUGCUACCGCUUUUGGAUGGGCCCGCGGCGCAUUAGCUAGUUGGUGGGGUAAAGGCUUACCAAGGCAAUGAUGCGUAGCCGAACUGAGAGGUUGAUCGGCCACAUUGGGACUGAGACACGGCCCAAACUCCUACGGGAGGCAGCAG